GGACUACUGGGGUUUCUAAUCCUUUUUGCUCCCCACGCUUUCGUGCCUCAAUGUCAGGAACAGAAUAGUUAACUGCCUUCGCCGUUAUUGGUGUUCAUCUUCAUAUCGUUGGAUUUUACCCCUACACAAAGAGUUCCGUUAACCUCUCCUGCCCUCCAGUCGGACAGUAUUACCAGUUUCCACGAGGUUAGGCCUCGAUUUCCCACUGCUAACUUAUUCGACCAUCUACGCACCCUUUACGCCCAAUAAUUCCGGAUAACGUUCGCCACCUACGUCUUACCGCGGCUGCUGGCAC
This 295-nucleotide ribosomal RNA is filed under the name uncultured bacterium. RNAcentral's name for it is "partial 16S ribosomal RNA". The record is from RNAcentral.